CGGGCGCUGACGGAUGGCGUCACCACGGCGCGCUCAGACACCAGAGCCAACCCAGGCUGUCACCAGAAGGUUUCUUGGCUCCUUUUUCUCUCUGCGUUUUCCCCACCCCUAAAAGACUGACUCCAAACUCAGAGUUCCGCCACGCUCGACAGAAGGGUUUACCGCGUGAGCGGCGUAGCAGGAAGAGGCUCAGGCGGCGGCAACUGCUGAUUGGCAGCAAAGGAGUUCACUCCCUAUCGCCUGCUCGAACUGAGCCAGCGUAGCCAAUCAGAACGAGGACUGACAAAAACAACCCAAUCCUGGAGCUGGGCUGAGGGAGGGGGCGGGAACAAGUGGCCCAGGUGGACUUGGGACCGGAGCUGGCCUAGGGAGAGCUGGUUUGCGGAUGCUGCUGAUACUGCUGCAGUAGUACUGGAUCGUCAGGCAGAGCGCCCUCUCUUGGAGGGGAGUCAUGAGCCGCUUCCUGAAUGUGUUACGAAGCUGGCUGGUUAUGGUGUCCAUUAUAGCCAUGGGGAACACACUCCAGAGCUUCCGAGACCACACUUUUCUCUACGAGAAGCUCUACACUGGCAAGCCAAACCUUGUGAAUGGCCUCCAAGCCCGGACCUUUGGGAUCUGGACGCUGCUCUCAUCAGUGAUUCGCUGCCUCUGUGCCAUUGACAUCCACAACAAAACGUACGUCAGGGAAAGAAGGCCUCUGGUGUCCGUGUGUUGGCAGUGACGCUCCGCUCACGUGCCCGGCUACUGUUGACUCUAUCACAUCACACUGUGGACAUUCCUCCUCGCCCUGGGACACUUCCUCUCAGAGUUGUUUGUAUUUGGAACAGCAGCUCCCACAGUUGGUGUGCUGGCACCCCUGAUGGUAGCAAGUUUCUCAAUCCUGGGCAUGCUGGUCGGGCUCCGGUACCUAGAGGCAGAACCAGUAUCCAGACAGAAGAAAAGAAAUUGAGGCCAGCCUUGCCAGCUCUGAAACAUCGUCUUCCACCUCCACUGUCUUCUUCAUUCACCCUCUAUCCUUAAACCAUUUCUGUUUGGCUGCAUCCUUAACUCCUUCAUCUAGGUUCAGCAUCUUAAGCUUUCGAGAGGGUUUUUUGUUUUUUGAUCUUAAAUUUUGGUUUUUGGGGUUUUUUUAUGUUUUUAAAUUUUUUAAGGUAUUCAUAAGAAAAAUUACUUAACAUGUAUGUAUAAUUUAGGAGUCAUUUAAAGAAAAUACUCUUGUUAGUCCUUCAAAGUCAAGGAAUUCUGAGAAGCCCCCUAAUGUGUCCUCCCCUAGCUAUAACCCCUCUAGCUCCUUUUCCAGUCUUUUGCUUUUCUCUGCAUUCCUUGAUCUGUUGUGGUGGGAACAUAACUGUGAAGCCGCAGCUGCUGCCUGCCCAGAGCAGCCGCGGGCAAGGGCUGCUUCAAGGUCCUGAGCACAUAGACUGGGCUCCUUUCUAUUGCUGGGCCCAGGGGACAGGCAGUUCUUCUGAGAAGGACUGCCCUCAUGAGCAGGACCAGGCUCCUCUUUUAUCUACAGGUGGAUGAAGGUUGGAAGAGUCUGGGCUGUUUUUAGACCUUUUGGUCAAUUGUAUUUGUGUAAUGCAUUUUAUAAUAAAUAGGGAAACCUUCUAUUCUGA
This is an RNA transcript of Mus musculus (house mouse), 1616 nucleotides long. It is a transcript of the gene named ergosterol biosynthesis 28, with no coding region annotated. The transcript is spliced from 5 exons. NCBI's taxonomy places the organism in Eukaryota, Metazoa, Chordata, Mammalia, Rodentia, Muridae. The record is from RefSeq and is marked validated.